AGGACGAACGCUGGCGGCGUGCCUAACACAUGCAGGUCGAACGAGGCCAUUCCUUCGGGAGUGAGUCGAGUGGCGGACGGGUGAGUAACACGUGAGCAAUCUACCCUUGUGCGGGGGAUAACCCGGGGAAACCCGGGCUAAUACCGCAUGUUUCAGGAGAACGACAUCGUUUUCCCGGGAAACGUGGCCUCUUUACAAUGCUACGGCGCAGGGAGGAGCUCGCGGGCUAUCAGCUAGUUGGUGAGGUAACGGCUCACCAAGGCAUCGACGGCUACGGGGUCUGAGAGGACGACCCCGCACAUUGGAACUGAGACACGGUCCAGACUCCUACGGGAGCAGCAGUGGGGAAUAGUUGGGCAAUGGCCGAAAGGCUGACCAGCGACGCCGCGUGUGGGAGGAACGCCCGUU
RNAcentral lists this ribosomal RNA (408 nucleotides) under uncultured soil bacterium. RNAcentral's name for it is "bacterial SSU rRNA". It matches the Rfam family "Bacterial small subunit ribosomal RNA", at positions 26 to 420 of the family's 1533-position model. The record is from RNAcentral.